RNAcentral lists this ribosomal RNA (449 nucleotides) under uncultured bacterium. Its description in RNAcentral is "partial 16S ribosomal RNA". It matches the Rfam family "Bacterial small subunit ribosomal RNA", at positions 29 to 523 of the family's 1533-position model. The record is from RNAcentral.
AACGAACGCUGGCGGCAGGCCUAACACAUGCAAGUCGAACGCCCUAGCAAUAGGGAGUGGCGCACGGGUGAGUAACGCGUGGGAACGUGCCUUUCAGUCUGGAAUAACUGCGGGAAACUGCAGCUAAUACCGGAUAUUCUCUACGGAGGAAAGAUUUAUCGCUGAAAGAUCGGCCCGCGUUAGAUUAGGUAGUUGGUGGGGUAAUGGCCUACCAAGCCUACGAUCUAUAGCUGGUCUGAGAGGAUGAUCAGCCACACUGGAACUGAGACACGGUCCGGACUCCUACGGGAGGCAGCAGUGGGGAAUAUUGGACAAUGGGCGCAAGCCUGAUCCAGCCAUGCCGCGUGAGUGACGAAGGCCUUAGGGUUGUAAAGCUCUUUUGUCAGGGAAGAUAAUGACGGUACCUGAAGAAUAAGACACGGCUAACUUCGUGCCAGCAGCCGCGGUAA